RNAcentral lists this transfer RNA (112 nucleotides) under Sphingobacterium multivorum. RNAcentral describes it as "tRNA-OTHER". It matches the Rfam family "tRNA". Rfam says of the family: Transfer RNA (tRNA) molecules are approximately 80 nucleotides in length. Their secondary structure includes four short double-helical elements and three loops (D, anti-codon, and T loops). Further hydrogen bonds mediate the characteristic L-shaped molecular structure. tRNAs have two regions of fundamental functional importance: the anti-codon, which is responsible for specific mRNA codon recognition, and the 3' end, to which the tRNAs corresponding amino acid is attached (by aminoacyl-tRNA synthetases). tRNAs cope with the degeneracy of the genetic code in two manners: having more than one tRNA (with a specific anti-codon) for a particular amino acid; and 'wobble' base-pairing, i.e. permitting non-standard base-pairing at the 3rd anti-codon position. Lineage: Bacteria; Pseudomonadati; Bacteroidota; Sphingobacteriia; Sphingobacteriales; Sphingobacteriaceae. The record is from RNAcentral.
AGGGAUGUGGUGCAUUGGUAAGACACCGCACAUCGUGCGCAUCCAUAAGAGGCGCUAGCGUGUAAAAAGCUCUUAUGAAAGAUGGUUGCCGGUUCGAAUCCGGCCAUUCCUA